Long non-coding RNA from Mustela erminea (ermine), 502 nucleotides. RefSeq lists it as uncharacterized. The record is from RefSeq and is a predicted model, not a curated record. Lineage: Eukaryota; Metazoa; Chordata; Mammalia; Carnivora; Mustelidae. The transcript has 4 exons.
GAUGCUGAAAUUUUAGGUGCUGAGGCCGGCUUGGAAGGAGGGUAUGCUCUGCCCUGGGGACAGGUGGGUACCAGCAGUGAAGAUGGUCCUCCAGGUCUAAGAGCCACUUUGAUAGCAAGAAAGACUUUGGACAGUGGAGGACUACGGAGGAGACUUAGGUUCUGAGCACACUGCCAUCGGUCAUCCCUAACCUAUAAAACGAAUGCGGCCUCAUGCUGGCUUAUCCCCCUACCUGGAGUGAGGCAGCACUGGGGACUCAUUUGCCCAGGACUGUGACCCAAUGAAGCCCAAGUAGCCUUGUGAAACAAUGAAUCAUUUCUGGGAGAAGACACCUGGAUAAAAUAAGAGAUGAAACAACAAAUAAGAAAAUGAAACAUUUUCUUCUGAGAAAAAUAGAACUAGGCACCUUCGAAUCCCACAUAGAAAUACCGUUGGCUCCCCUCAUCUAACUUGUUGAAGAAAUGUGGUCACCACCAUGGGAACCUGGACUCAUACUCUGUUU